ACCAGUGUGGUGUAGUGGUUUGAGCACUGGACUAGGAUUCUGGAGAUCAGGGUUCAAAAACCUGCUGGUG
Molecule: non-coding RNA, 70 nt
Organism: Phrynosoma platyrhinos (Desert horned lizard)
Lineage: Eukaryota; Metazoa; Chordata; Lepidosauria; Squamata; Phrynosomatidae
Source: the annotation of a GenBank genome assembly